RNAcentral lists this ribosomal RNA (280 nucleotides) under Foraminifera sp. Its description in RNAcentral is "partial small subunit ribosomal RNA". The record is from RNAcentral. Lineage: Eukaryota; Foraminifera.
AGUUCGUGGAAUAAUCUGUCUGCUUAAUUGCGUCAAACUUUUCAGGCACACUCUCUGUUACUAGGAACUGUUGUUACUGCAUUUUGAACUUCGGUUCGUUUUGCUGGUAGUAAUGGUGACUAUGAGAUGCUGUGUCUUUUGAAACGGACGUGACGCUUACCCUUUCUUGCUCUACAUUAGGUAUAACUGGCUUCGGCUGGAUUUGUAUCAUUUAAAAAUGUGAGUUAAGUAAGGGGACUGUUGGGGAAUACUCAAAGGAAGGUAGGCGCAAUAACAGGUC